Bradysia coprophila is the source of this 191-nucleotide long non-coding RNA. NCBI's taxonomy places the organism in Eukaryota, Metazoa, Arthropoda, Insecta, Diptera, Sciaridae. The record is from RefSeq and is a predicted model, not a curated record.
UGUGUCCUUAACGAUUUUUUGAAUUAAUUAAACUAAAUGAAAAAUUGGACACAUGUGUGAGAGGAUCGAUGAAUUAGUACGAUUAAUGACGAUAACAAUGUAAUUGUGAGAAACCCGUAGGGCGAUUGCCAUUGAUAAUGACUAUGAAACGUAGUCGAAAUAUUUGGUAAUAAAUACUAAUGAAUGAGCAC